GGGCCCGCACAAGCGGUGGAGCAUGCGGUUUAAUUCGAUGCAACGCGAAAAACCUUACCUACCCUUGACAUCCUUGGAAUCUUUUAGAGAUAGAAGAGUGCCUUCGGGAACCAAGUGACAGGUGCUGCAUGGCUGUCGUCAGCUCGUGUCGUGAGAUGUUAGGUUAAGUCCUGUAACGAGCGCAACCCCUAUCCUUAGUUGCCAGCACGUAAUGGUGGGAACUCUAAGGAAACUGCCGGUGACAAACCGGAGGAAGGUGGGGACGAGGUCAAGUCAUCAUGGCCCUUACGGGUAGGGCUACACGCGUGCUACAAUGGACAGUACAAAGGGAAGCAAUAUCGCGAGAUGGAGCAAAUCCCAAAAAGCUGUUCUCAGUCCGGAUUGGAGUCUGCAACUCGACUCCAUGAAGUAGGAAUCGCUAGUAAUCGC
This 429-nucleotide ribosomal RNA is filed under the name uncultured bacterium. RNAcentral describes it as "bacterial SSU rRNA". It matches the Rfam family "Bacterial small subunit ribosomal RNA", at positions 917 to 1345 of the family's 1533-position model. The record is from RNAcentral.